Molecule: ribosomal RNA, 497 nt
Filed under: uncultured bacterium
Lineage: Bacteria
Description: partial 16S ribosomal RNA
Rfam family: Bacterial small subunit ribosomal RNA
Source: RNAcentral
GAUGAACGCUGGCGGCGUGCCUAAUACAUGCAAGUCGAGCGAACAGACGAGGAGCUUGCUCCUCUGACGUUAGCGGCGGACGGGUGAGUAACACGUGGAUAACCUACCUAUAAGACUGGGAUAACUUCGGGAAACCGGAGCUAAUACCGGAUAAUAUAUUGAACCGCAUGGUUCAAUAGUGAAAGACGGUUUUGCUGUCACUUAUAGAUGGAUCCGCGCCGCAUUAGCUGGUUGGUAAGGUAACGGCUUACCAAGGCAACGAGGCGUAGCCGACCGGCGAGGGUGAUCGCCCACCCUGGAACGGAGCCACGGUCCAGACUCCUACGGGAGGCAGCAGUAGGGAAUCUUCCGCAAUGGGCGAAAGCCUGACGGAGCAACGCCGCGUGAGUGAUGAAGGUCUUCGGAUCGUAAAACUCUGUUAUUAGGGAAGAACAAAUGUGUAAGUAACUAUGCACGUCUUGACGGUACCUAAUCAGAAAGCCACGGCUAACUACGUG